Manis javanica (Malayan pangolin) is the source of this 144-nucleotide small nucleolar RNA. RefSeq annotates it as small nucleolar RNA SNORA48. Lineage: Eukaryota; Metazoa; Chordata; Mammalia; Pholidota; Manidae. The record is from RefSeq and is a predicted model, not a curated record.
ACCCCCUGGCAGUGAGCGAGGAGACACCUGAUGGCUGGUGUUGGUCUUAUAUCAGUCAGAGACAAAUUAAAGACACAGUCCUUGUUCAUCUUAGCUUGAUACCUGGGUUGGUGGCUAGAGCUUUUUCAAGCCUGGAGCAUAUAA